This 62-nucleotide transfer RNA is filed under the name Friesea antarctica. RNAcentral's name for it is "tRNA-Arg". Lineage: Eukaryota; Metazoa; Arthropoda; Collembola; Poduromorpha; Neanuridae. The record is from RNAcentral.
UAAUAAGAAGCGAUCUCAUUGCAAUCAAUUUCGGCUUGAUCUUAGUUUAAUAGCCUUAUUUU